CCAAAAUUUCACGAGACUGUAAAGAUGAUUCAUGUAGGAAGUGUCUUCACACACACACACACACACACACACACACACACACACACACACACACACACACACACACACACACACACACACACACACACACACACACACACACACAAACGGAGGAAAACCACCACAUUUACAGUGAUAAAGAACACUUAAAAGGUUCCACUGGGUCACUGGUUCUUCAUGUGAUCCCACCAUGAGCUCCUGUCUGACCAUCCUCCAUGUGUCCGUCUGGGCCGUGCUCAUCCUCACUUCAGAUGCUGACAAUAACACUGACGCCACUGCCUGCAGCUGGGAGACGCUGAAACCAGUGAUCCUUCCCCACGUGCACCGCGUGACCGGCCUCAUGGUGUUUGUCAUCGUCCUCAUCGCCGUGUGUGUGACGCCAAAGCGGGUCUGGAAAGCUUUCCACUGUGGACGAGGAUCCAGGAAAGCAACAAACCCAAACCCCCAAACUGCUCAAUAUGAAUCAUUCAACAUUCCUAUUUAUGAGAAUGUGUUAGUACCCUGCUGAGGUAAAUGCUGUUAUUUUAAGGCUUUGAUUCAUGUUCAUAUUUAUACAUCACACUGACUUUUGUUUGUGUUUGUCUUGUGAAGAAAACUUGACAUUUUGUGUAUUUGAAUUCCUGUAACUGGUGCCUUAAUAAGACAGAAGUGAAAUUUUGUACAUAUGAAACCACCGCUGAGGCCAAGUGUGAAUCUGUGAGCGUGUGUGCAGCGUCACACAUCUAUAGGUAAAUGGUUUUGCUUCCUGUACAGGUAUCAAUCGUGGUGCACACAUCCGGUGCAAACGCCUCUUGGACACGUGAUCCUCUGAUGUAUCGUGUUUGUGUUUUCACUGCUCUGUUGGUUGGGGUGAAGCGGCUCUCGCUCUCUGGCGUGACGUUUUGGGAACAGACCAGCCGUUAAGUAAUGAACAGGAAGCACCAUCAGACCGCAAGUCACGUAACCAUGGUGUAAACACAGAAAUGGAAGUUGGUUACAGUAGAAAUGGAAAUCAUGAACUUUAUGACCCAAACGCAGGACGUAUAGGUUUUAUUCAGUGUCGGUAACAAACAGGAUUGAAGAUCUAUUCUAUUAACACGUAUUAUUAAAUAUGAAUGUGUGAUAAUGGAUCAGAUUGUUACUGCUGAACAGACUGUUUAUCUCUCCACUGCUUUGCUCGGUUACACACUAGCUGCUGCAGCCACGCCUGGAUCAGGUGUGUUCACUCAACUAGAUGAUGGAGGACACCAGUUCGCUCAGCGUUUAUUCAGAACCUUGUCCUCAUCAGGGUCGAGGGGGGGUGGAGCCGUCCCAGCAGCCACUGGGGCCGGAGGCCGAGGUGAAACCCAGCAGGGCAGUGGGGCCUGAGGAUGGUGGGAAGCAUUGUUCUGUUGCUGGAGAUGAGUUUAAACUGAUGAUAUAUAUGCUAGUUUUAUAAAUAUAAUGGAAAUGCAAAACAGAGCAGACAGAUGCAUAAUCUUACAAACCUCCAUCACUGGACUCAAGUAUGGUGAAUAGGAUGAAAGGCCCGUUAGAGCUGAAUGUUGGUGAGAUUCCAGGAAGGACGUCUUGCACAUUCACUAUGAGUCACCUUUAGCUUACAGGUGUUGAAGCGCGUGUUUUCUACAGGGGAAAACCUUCUUAUUGUUUGAUUUAAGCUCAUCAUGAGACCAGCUCUCUUCCACUCUGAAUCCAGGAAAUGACGCCUUUCGGUUCAGACUGAAACGCCUGAAGCUGAACAAGAACUUCUCACCACCUUGGUUCCAAAGGUCACGUUAUUAUAAUGCGGAGCCGCUUAAAUUAUUGAAUAAAUUAUGGGAAGCAAUAGCUGUGAUACA
Molecule: long non-coding RNA, 1856 nt
Organism: Betta splendens (Siamese fighting fish)
Lineage: Eukaryota; Metazoa; Chordata; Actinopteri; Anabantiformes; Osphronemidae
Source: Ensembl